GGUACUAGGGUUUCCCUACCGUUUUUUUUUCACAAAUCGCGGCUGCCAGGUUCAUUUGUUUGUAGUGUUACAAGGUUCAGUUACACAAAUUAUACAGGAAUUAAUUAUUCAAGGACCUUUUAUUUGCAAUGGAUUCACCUGAACGUAGUCGGAGCUAUGUGAAGCGAGACACCGAGGAUAGCUCAGAUGUGAAGAGUGAUAGGGCAGGGGAUGAUGAGGAAUGGGAUGGCAGUGAUAAGAGGAGGCAUCGGUCCAGCAAGUCCAGGAAGUCGAGCAAUGGAGAAGAUGCUGAGGGAUUAGAUGGCAAUGGGAGAAGAAGAAGUUCUGGUGGGGACAGGAACGAGGGUCGUAAGAGGUCAGGUGGUGGCUCUAGCAGAGCAGGUAGUGACGAUGAUGAUUAUGAAACAAGAAAAGAGUUGCGAUUAAAGCAAAUAAAGAAGAAACAAGAAGAAAGUAGCUUGGAAAAGCUGAGCAGUUGGUACCAGGAUGGAGAAUUAGAGAACAGACAGGUUGCAGAAAAGUCUGGAAGUAAAGGGCACAGUCGUGCUGAUGAGAGUGAGAAAAGGAAAAUGACAUCGAAGAUCUCAGAACAUGAGAGUUCACGUGGUGGAAGCAAAAGUAAAGAAGAAAGAUCCCAUGAUGGAGAGCAUGAGAAGUUACAAGAUAGAGAUUCCAGGUACUCAGAUAGGANCAGCCGAGAGAAGGCUCAUGGUUCCACUGAGCUGGGAAGAACUUCUAGGAGGAGGUGGGAUGAAUCAGAUGCUGGAAAGAAAGGCGAAGAAAGUUAUCAUGAAAAGGCUGAUCUCAGAAGUGGAAAGGCUUCUGAUUCCAAAUAUGAGAAUUCUAAAGAGAGAAGUGCAUCUGCAAGAAAUGAACCCAGUGAUAGUAAAAGCAGAGGUUUUGAUUCAAACAACGAGAAGGGUGUCAAAGCCAACAAUAGAGAAGAAAGAAGAGCUGAUGGGGAGAGGAGCAAGAGCAAAAGCAGGUCAGGAGCUGUAGAAGAGGACGAUAAAGGUAGUCCUAUUACUCGUGAAGA
This 1036-nucleotide unclassified non-coding RNA is filed under the name Hevea brasiliensis (rubber tree). The record is from RNAcentral. Lineage: Eukaryota; Viridiplantae; Streptophyta; Magnoliopsida; Malpighiales; Euphorbiaceae.